AGAGUUUGAUCCUGGCUCAGAAUGAACGCUGGCGGCGUGUUUAAGACAUGCAAGUCGUACGGAGUAACAUGAGUAGCAAUACAAGUGUUGCUCAGUGGCGCACGGGUGCGUAACACGUGAGUUACAUGCCCUGCAGAGAGGGAUAGCCCAGGGAAACUUGGAUUAAUACCUCAUGGUCCCGCAAGGGUAAAGGUGGCGAAAGCUGCCGCUGCAGGAUUGGCUCGCGGCCUAUCAGCUAGUUGGUGAGGUAACGGCUCACCAAGGCGACGACGGGUACCUGGUCUGAGAGGACGAUCAGGCACACUGGAACUGAGACACGGUCCAGACACCUACGGGUGGCAGCAGUCGAGAAUCAUUCACAAUGGGGGCAACCCUGAUGGUGCAACGCCGCGUGGAGGAAGAAGGUCUUCGGAUUGUAAACUCCUGUCAUCUAGGAGCAAGGCAUGGUGGUGAAUAGCCAACAUGAUUGAUAGUACUAGAAGAGGAAGGGACGGCUAACUUCGUGCCAGCAGCCGCGGUAAUACGAAGGUCCCGAGCGUUAUUCGGAAUCACUGGGCGUAAAGGGAGCGUAGGCGGCGUGGAAAGUCAGAUGUGAAAUCCCAGAGCUUAACUCUGGAACUGCAUCCGAUACUACCAUGCUAGAGUAUUGGAGGGGUAACUGGAAUUCUCGGUGUAGCAGUGAAAUGCGUAGAUAUCGAGAGGAACACUCGUGGCGAAAGCGAGUUACUGGACAAUUACUGACGCUGAGGCUCGAAAGCUAGGGGAGCAAAAGGGAUUAGAUACCCCUGUAGUCCUAGCAG
This 800-nucleotide ribosomal RNA is filed under the name uncultured bacterium. RNAcentral describes it as "bacterial SSU rRNA". It matches the Rfam family "Bacterial small subunit ribosomal RNA", at positions 8 to 802 of the family's 1533-position model. The record is from RNAcentral.